UGGGGAAUUUUGGACAAUGGGCGCAAGCCUGAUCCAGCCAUGCCGCGUGCGGGAAGAAGGCCUUCGGGUUGUAAACCGCUUUUGUCAGGGAAGAAAUCUUCUGAGUUAAUACCUCGGGAGGAUGACGGUACCUGAAGAAUAAGCACCGGCUAACUACGUGCCAGCAGCCGCGGUAAUACGUAGGGUGCAAGCGUUAAUCGGAAUUACUGGGCGUAAAGCGUGCGCAGGCGGUUUUGUAAGACAGAGGUGAAAUCCCCGGGCUCAACCUGGGAACUGCCUUUGUGACUGCAAGGCUUGAGUGCGGCAGAGGGGGAUGGAAUUCCGCGUGUAGCAGUGAAAUGCGUAGAUAUGCGGAGGAACACCGAUGGCGAAGGCAAUCCCCUGGGCCUGCACUGACGCUCAUGCACGAAAGCGUGGGGAGCAAACAGGAUUAGAUACCCUGGUAGUCCACGCCCUAAAACGAUGUCAACUGGUUGUUGGGAAGGUUCCUUCUCAGUAACGUAGCUAACGCGUGAAGUUGACCGCCUGGGGAGUACGGCCGCAAGGUUGAAAACUCAAAUGAAUUGACGGGGUCAUAGCUGUUUCCU
RNAcentral lists this ribosomal RNA (587 nucleotides) under uncultured bacterium. RNAcentral describes it as "partial 16S ribosomal RNA". It matches the Rfam family "Bacterial small subunit ribosomal RNA", at positions 355 to 1375 of the family's 1533-position model. The record is from RNAcentral.